AGACCCGAAACCCGGUGAUCUAGCCAUGGGCAGGUUGAAGGUUGGGUAACACUAACUGGAGGACCGAACCGACUAAUGUUGAAAAAUUAGCGGAUGACCUGUGGCUGGGGGUGAAAGGCCAAUCAAACCGGGAGAUAGCUGGUUCUCCCCGAAAGCUAUUUAGGUAGCGCCUCGUGAACUCAUCUCCGGGGGUAGAGCACUGUUUCGGCUAGGGGGCCAUCCCGGCUUACCAACCCGAUGCAAACUGCGAAUACCGGAGAAUGUUAUCACGGGAGACACACGGCGGGUGCUAACGUCCGUCGUGAAGAGGGAAACAACCCAGACCGCCAGCUAAGGUCCCAAAGUCAUGGUUAAGUGGGAAACGAUGUGGGAAGGCCCAGACAGCCAGGAUGUUGGCUUAGAAGCAGCCAUCAUUUAAAGAAAGCGUAAUAGCUCACUGGUCGAGUCGGCCUGCGCGGAAGAUGUAACGGGGCUAAACCAUGCACCGAAGCUGCGGCAGCGACACUGUGUGUUGUUGGGUAGGGGAGCGUUCUGUAAGCCUGUGAAGGUGUGUCGUGAGGCAUGCUGGAGGUAUCAGAAGUGCGAAUGCUGACAUAAGUAACGAUAAAGCGGGUGAAAAGCCCGCUCGCCGGAAGACCAAGGGUUCCUGUCCAACGUUAAUCGGGGCAGGGUGAGUCGACCCCUAAGGCGAGGCCGAAAGGCGUAGUCGAUGGGAAACAGGUUAAUA
RNAcentral lists this ribosomal RNA (727 nucleotides) under Salmonella enterica subsp. enterica. RNAcentral's name for it is "partial 23S ribosomal RNA". It matches the Rfam family "Bacterial large subunit ribosomal RNA", at positions 711 to 1435 of the family's 2925-position model. The record is from RNAcentral. Lineage: Bacteria; Pseudomonadati; Pseudomonadota; Gammaproteobacteria; Enterobacterales; Enterobacteriaceae.